Molecule: ribosomal RNA, 466 nt
Filed under: uncultured bacterium
Lineage: Bacteria
Description: partial 16S ribosomal RNA
Rfam family: Bacterial small subunit ribosomal RNA
Source: RNAcentral
GACGAACGCUGGCGGCGCGCCUAACACAUGCAAGUCGAACGAGCGAGAGAGAGCUUGCUUUCUUGAGCGAGUGGCGAACGGGUGAGUAACGCGUGAGGAACCUGCCUCAAAGAGGGGGACAACAGUUGGAAACGACUGCUAAUACCGCAUAGGCCCACGACCCGGCAUCGGGUUGAGGGAAAAGGAGCAAUCCGCUUUGAGAUGGCCUCGCGUCCGAUUAGCUAGUUGGUGAGGUAACGGCCCACCAAGGCGACGAUCGGUAGCCGGACUGAGAGGUUGAACGGCCACAUUGGGACUGAGACACGGCCCAGACUCCUACGGGAGGCAGCAGUGGGGAAUAUUGCACAAUGGGGGAAACCCUGAUGCAGCGACGCCGCGUGGAGGAAGAAGGUCUUCGGAUUGUAAACUCCUGUUGUUGAGGAAGAUAAUGACGGUACUCAACAAGGAAGUGACGGCUAACUACGUG